AUACGGAGGGUCCAAGCGUUAUCCGGAAUCAUUGGGUUUAAAGGGUUCGUAGGCGGGUCAAUAAGUCAGAGGUGAAAUCUUGCAGCUUAACUGUAAAAUUGCCUUUGAUACUGUUGACCUCGAAUUACUGUGAAGUGGUUAGAAUAUGUAGUGUAGCGGUGAAAUGCUUAGAGAUUACGUAGAAUACCGAUUGCGAAGGCAGAUCACUAACAGUAUAUUGACGCUGAUGAACGAAAGCGUGGGUAGCGAACGGGAUUAGAAACCCUUGUAGUCC
RNAcentral lists this ribosomal RNA (274 nucleotides) under uncultured bacterium. Its description in RNAcentral is "partial 16S ribosomal RNA". It matches the Rfam family "Bacterial small subunit ribosomal RNA", at positions 523 to 796 of the family's 1533-position model. The record is from RNAcentral.